Non-coding RNA from Canis lupus familiaris (dog), 46 nucleotides. NCBI's taxonomy places the organism in Eukaryota, Metazoa, Chordata, Mammalia, Carnivora, Canidae. The record is from Rfam.
CCAACGGCCCUUUUUAGGGCCAACCAUUUUGUCUUCAGAAGAGCUG